Schistocerca nitens (vagrant locust) is the source of this 1051-nucleotide long non-coding RNA. RefSeq lists it as uncharacterized. The record is from RefSeq and is a predicted model, not a curated record. NCBI's taxonomy places the organism in Eukaryota, Metazoa, Arthropoda, Insecta, Orthoptera, Acrididae. The transcript has 3 exons.
UUCGUGCUUCAUCCGACUACAUACGUAAAAUUUACAAAUAAGGCCUCUAAUUCUGAAAAUGGGGAAGUUGUGUGAUGUAAACUAUUGCAGAGUUAAUUAGAAAUGCAAUUACAAAGGAUAUUAAUUACAGAGGAGGACAUGAAGUAGAUAACAAAAGGAAAUACAUCGCUUAGUAAUAACUUAUAAGCCAUUUCUCAGGAUAAUGAUAUUUGCUGUGUCAAUCAACUGCAAUUAAGAUUAUCUCCAUGAGCUCUUCUGGUCUGCCUUAGGAAACAUCAGGGAAUGCCAGUAUGGCCUUUUAACAGCUGUCCCUCCUCUACGUCUACUGCCCACAGGGACAACAUGUCAUAUGUGCUUCGAGUUUCAAAACUUCAACUGAACAUCUGGAGACACAGGGAAGGAGACGGUCCUGUAAGAAUGGGCAGGAGCACUUCAGAACUGGCCAACAGAGGCACCACUGUUGACUAUCUACCUGACGAACUGAUGCUGGAGAUUUUCUCAUACUUUAGCUUCAGUGAAAACAUUGAAGUUUUACAAGAGGUGUGCACUCGAUGGAAAAUUCUGGCCCAGGAUGCUCACUUGUGGCUUGACUAGAAGAACGUUGUCAGGUUUAUGGCAACAGGGGAAACAUUCAGAUCACUGGCAUUUACAUUCAGAAUAUCUCCUUCUUACAUCGGUAAAAUCAUACAAGGUGUGCUGCCAGUUCUACGUAAGAAGUUACUGCCACGAGCCACUCCUUACUGAAAAUCUUGGACCAUUAGCAAGCUAAUGGAUUUUCUGUGCGAGAUUCAUUUACAGAAUACUUCAACAGCAGUGCAGGUGCAAGGAUAACACCAUGGCAAAGUGAUCACGUUAACAGAACCCUGUAGGCUUUGAACUCCCUAGCGUUACUGAAUAACCUUUAAAAAAUUGUAUGCACAUAAUAAUAAAUUGAACUUUUAUAACAUACAUCAGGGUUUGAUAUCCACUUUGUGUACACUUCAUUAUUAUAAUAAUAACUGAAUAUUAUGUGGGACGAUGGUACUUAUUCUUGGUUAUUACAAUAUGCAUA